This is a long non-coding RNA of Myotis myotis, 3698 nucleotides long. RefSeq lists it as uncharacterized. NCBI's taxonomy places the organism in Eukaryota, Metazoa, Chordata, Mammalia, Chiroptera, Vespertilionidae. The record is from RefSeq and is a predicted model, not a curated record. The transcript has 18 exons.
ACACACAUGCACACACACACACAUGCACACACACACAGGUGAGUGUGGGGUCCUUCCUACCCCUAGAUGCACUCAUGUAUGCCCGUCCCAACACACACACAUGCACACACAUACACACAGGUGAGUGUGGGGUCCUUCCCACCCCGAGAUGCACUCAUGUAUGUCCGUCCCAACACACACACACGCGCGCGCGCGCACACACACACACACACACACACCCUCAGAUGCACAGACAGGUCAGGGCUGCUCUCACCAACCGGAGAAGGAGCCAGUUCAGCCCCUGGCAGCCAUCACUCACUACCCACACCUUUGGCUUAUGUGUUGCCUUCCCCGGGCUUCUGCUUGGCAUGCACAGUCUCUUAGGCAGUGCUAAUGCUUUGGACCUUGAAGCCUUUCUUAGCUUUCCUGGAGUGAGCAGGGCAGAGGCACGGAAGGAGAAGCUAGGGGUGUGCGGGCCGGGGACCCUGACAGGGCUAAGCCGAGGCACUCAGCAGACUGCUCGAUGCAAUUCACGGGAGCAGACAGUUUAUCAGGCCCUCUGUCGCUCAUGCUGCGACAUGGAGAUGAGUCAGGAGAGACUUGCAGCCUCUGGGUCCAAGUCUGGGGAGGGAGGGAGGCCCUGCAGGACAUAAGCCAACACGUGGCAUCAGAGAUUAGCACAGGCACAGCGUCAGAGUGUUACAGCAAUCAGCUCACUCAGGGAUCUUCAAGGGAAAUAUCAUCCCCCGUUAGCAAGGCCCAGAGGUGGAGCUCGUCAGAGGGUAGGGGGAAAGGCACCCAGGUGCGGUGAGGGGCCAGCCUGGGCCAAGGCCAGGUGUGAAAAUGGGUGACGUUCUGAUGAUGGGGUUACUCCUGCUGCCACAACAAAUACCACAGGCUGGGCCUUAAACAACAGCCGGCAGUCCAAGGUCAAGGUGUCAGCUGGGUGGGUUUCCGCGAGGCCUCUCUCCGUGGCUGGUUAUGGCCGCCCUCCCCCUGUGUCUUCCCAGGCCUUCCUCUGCGUAAGUCUGUGCCCAGUCUCCAACCUCCUCUUCUUUAUCAAGACGCUGGUCAUGUUGGAUGAGGGCCCACCCAUGUGACCUCACUUUUCCGUACUUACCUCUUGAAGACCCUACUCCAGAUAUAGUCACAGUCUGAUGUAUUGGGAAACUCCCGUCUGGACAGGCCUGAUUGGACAAGACCUCACUAAGCAUGCACCUCUCGGCCGCCCGCAGGGAAAGGAGCCCUUUCUGCCGGCUUCAAGCCAGUCCUGCUCCUCCCUGCUGGCCCUAUGGAGGAAGGCUGCCCAUUCCUGAGAGGUGACAGAAGUCGGAGGGUUUUCCCACGGAAGGGACCAGAACGCUCGUGUCCCCUGGAGUUUCUCUUUCAGGUGUGUCUUUACAGAAUGACGUGCGUGAGGAAGAGUCGUGAAUAAUACUGGGGAUGAGCCAAUGUCUCAUUUUUCCUCCUGUACCACACAAACAGAAAAAUGACAGGAACACUUCCUGUAUCAGUGCCAUCAUAUAGUAUUGGAUGAUUCCAGUGCAAUGCAACCACAUUUCAGGAGUGAAUACACAGCUCAGAACACGGAGCUGGGUGCAGUGGCCUAGUGCUUGAUUGAAGGAGACUGGGGACCCAAGCUGUUGGGUUUUGUUACAGAUGCUGAAAAAGCCUCACCAACUCUCUAGGGAAAUUUGAGGUGCCAAGGAACAUGCUGGGCACAGGAUCAAAUGGUGAACAGGACCCUGUGGCUGCCAGUCUGGUGGUGGAAACAGACAGUUGAAUGGACUUAUGAUGCGUCUGGGACUCUUAGAAGCUGAGGAUACAGAGGUGGACCAGACAUGAUCUCUGUCUUCAUGGAGCAACUUGAAGAACCUUCUAGCCUUACCUUCCCAUUCAAUAAAUGGAUAAAUUAAGGCCCGCGGAGGAGGACCGAUCUAUAUAGGUCUUAUGGUGGAAAGAUGGAAGAGUGCUGGAGGCUGGGAAGUUCAAAGUCAUGGCCCUGGCAGGUUCAGUGUCUGGUGAGAUCCCACUUGCUCAUUGGAAGCUGUCUUCUGUGUCCUCACAUGGAGGAGUUAAGAAGCAGGGUCUAUGGUAUAACUGUUGAGUGGAUAGCUGAAGUGGAGUGAAGAACAAGAUUGUUGGGGUCAAAGACAUCAAGAAAUGGAGAGUCCAAGCUGUUGGUUCAUAGGUCACUGGACCACAAGGAGGAAACCUGAUGAAGGAUCAUUAGUGAUUUUGAGCUUCAACUGGACGUGGUUGGUUAUAGGAUAAGUAUGGAAGGAAGAUUGAAAAGCCUGCCAGGAAGAUGGGAUGAUACAAGUCUGCUGGAGCUGGGGACAAGGAGAAAUGAUGGCUUGCCUGCCACACAGGGUUGUGGAGUUAGGAAGAAUAACGCCAAAGCACUUCAGGAACUGUCCAGUGCUGAACAAAUGUAGAGAAGAUGAUGAUGAAGCUGAUGACACUGAUAAUGAAGAUGACGACAAUGAUGAUAAUUGUGCUUUAUACAUGAAGAUACUUGCUUUUUGAUGGACUGAUUAGACACAGUUUCCCUGACUAGAGCUACCUAACACCUUCCUUCUAGAGUUUAUCUGGAUAACCUUGGAACUUCUACAUGACUGGGUCCUGCGUGUUGCACUGCUGGGAUGGGUGUGGGGAAGAAAACUCAUUGGUCUUCCAUGAUAGAAGUUUAACGUUUUAGAUGAAGAAACAAGACUGCCACCAAUCCAGAAUAAUUAGAUAUGGAAUUUAACUCAGUGCUGGCUGAGGAAUGGAAGUUCUGAGAAAAGAAAUGGAUGGAAAGGAGAGACAUCUGGGGCUAAGGUGUUUCUACCUGGGAGGAGCCUGUGGCACAGAAAGGGGGCUGGAUGCUUUGGGCUUGGCUCAGGCUCUGAAUUCAGAAGACAGUGUGGGACCCAAGCCUGCAUUGUGUAGCCCCUCAGUACAGCACAUGAGAAGCUGAUUCCCUUGGCCUGACUGCUUGGCUCUGAAGUCUCAGGUCUCAGACUCGACAUCAAUAAGGAGCUGGAGAGAGGGUGAGGGCCUCUCCCCUACCCCGGAUGGAGGGUGCAUGACUUGUCUGAGGUUCCACAGGGAUCUUUAAUGGCAGAUCUCCAGGCACUAGCUCAGCUUGAGUGUGGACACUGUAAUCGCCUUUUAGCAAAGACUGCCCUGAGCAGAGGCCACCAUCUUUGAGAGUGACCCCCUGGAGAAGCCAAUUGCAAUCCCUUCUACUCAUCCUGGUAAGCCCUGGCAUCUAAUUUUUCUGUUUGUACUCCCUGCUCUUGUUUCCCCAGGCCACACCUAAGUGGACCAGGCAUGGACAUCUCAGGGGCCUUCUAAGGGGAGCAGUCCAGAGGCUGGGCUGUCUGCACUGCAUCUUGUCUGUGGAGCACUGAAACUUAGUGACACUGAAACUAAAUAGAGUUGACUCCAGUCAGGGCUGCCUGGUGGGCAUGUCUGGCCAAAACACUGCAUCCCUCUGGCCACGGUGAUUGUUUCAACGUUCAGUGAUGUGACUUCAUCCAGGCCCAUGAGAUUCAGCCCCAGGGCUUCUGCUGGAACUAUUGGGAAAGAGAGGUUCCCCCACCCCUGGGGGCUACUAAGCUCAUACCAUGUAAGACCGGAGUCCCCAGGGACACCAUGAGGGUGAGCCAACCUGAAAGGUUGUGGACAUGAACUAAUACAGAAGAAAGCAAAGUGGAGAGAAGAGGAAAUAG